RNAcentral lists this transfer-messenger RNA (390 nucleotides) under bovine gut metagenome. It matches the Rfam family "transfer-messenger RNA". Rfam says of the family: Bacterial tmRNA, also known as 10Sa RNA or SsrA, is named for its dual tRNA and mRNA-like properties. Its role is to liberate the mRNA from a stalled ribosome. The record is from RNAcentral.
GGGGCUAUUUGGUUUUGACAGCAGGUAGAAUGGUUGUGUAAGCACGCCGAGCAAUGAGGCAACGCUCGUUAAUCUCGCUUCGAAGCAUAACUGGCAACACUUCUUAUGCUCUCGCUGCUUAAUCGAAGUAUAGUAGAUUGGCCUAUUUGGGCGCAAGGCGCCUAAACGAGACGUCACUCCAAGCCGAGUCUGUGGGCUGAAUGGAUAUAGUGGCGCAGGAAUUCACAGAAUAGAUCUCGUAGGCUGCGAUGCGAAAUCGAAAACUUAGCAGAUAAGCCGGUGGUUGGUGGCUUGGGUCUUGCUACCGGACGAAAACGAAGGCCAAGAUAAGCGUGUAGAAAGCGCAAGUAUUCCUUGUUUGGACACGGGUUCGAAUCCCGUUAGCUCCAC